GAAAAGAAUAAGGAAGACAAUAGUAACAAGUAACAACCAACAUACAGACACAUUGUGUACUCAUUCACCACUCAACCAAAGAAAAUGUGGAAAUGUCCUAAGCCUACUCGUCUCCCCGCAAUAUUAAUCAAAGUACAAAACUACCCAUACUCACAUUUCAAAGAAUCAUCCAUUCCAAGGGGUAUAAACGUCAUUCACACACUUCUUCAAAGCCUUCAUACCAAAAAGAAGAUGAAGAACAAGAUAGAAAACGCAC
Molecule: unclassified non-coding RNA, 256 nt
Filed under: Hevea brasiliensis (rubber tree)
Lineage: Eukaryota; Viridiplantae; Streptophyta; Magnoliopsida; Malpighiales; Euphorbiaceae
Source: RNAcentral